GGCGGUGUAGCUCAGUUGGCAGAGCAGUCGGCUCAUACCCGAUACGUCUGGGGUUCAAAUCCCUACACCGCCAC
Molecule: transfer RNA, 74 nt
Filed under: candidate division TA06 bacterium ADurb.Bin131
Lineage: Bacteria
Description: tRNA-Met
Rfam family: tRNA
About the family: Transfer RNA (tRNA) molecules are approximately 80 nucleotides in length.
Source: RNAcentral